AUGGCCACCACCGAGACCUCCCGGAACCGUCAAGACAUGCAUACGGAGACCCUGGAUUCAACAAGUCCCUCUGACCCUGAACAGCUACGGGACAUGCACGACUUCGAACCGUGUACCACGUCGAACAUGUACGGCUACACAACGAACCACCAAGACCCUGAACGACUACCGCCGCCGAAGUCCGCGAGUAUCACUAUGUUUGCCAUGUACAUCUACACCAAGACUGGACCGACAAGUACCGCGAGAAUGUUUGUACCUCUACCGUCGCCGUGGAUCCGACAAGUACCCCUACAACAAGUGUACCUCUACCGUCGUCUUCGGAAUCGCUAA
RNAcentral lists this ribosomal RNA (330 nucleotides) under Triticum aestivum (bread wheat). Its description in RNAcentral is "partial small subunit ribosomal RNA". Lineage: Eukaryota; Viridiplantae; Streptophyta; Magnoliopsida; Poales; Poaceae. The record is from RNAcentral.